GUUUUUAUCAGCUGUUUGGAUUCUCAUUCUGAUGGCACCCAUUCACUGCAGAACAUCCAUUGAUUUCCAUUUUUCUGAAUCUUCUGAAAAUUAACUCCUCUUUAUCUUUCGUGGCCUGUGGUGUCACACACAGACGACAACGGAGACAGAUAUUAAAUGAAAGCCAGGACAUUUUAUUGGAAGGAUGGGAUUAACUGGCAAAUGAGAGAUGAAUGGCAGUCCAAGGAGAAGCCGCAGGCACACAGACACACUCCAAAGUCACCAGAGGUAAAAAGGUAGUUGAUUUUCCAAAGUAUCCACUUGAUGAAGACGACAGAAUCCUCCAAGAGGUAAGAGAGAGUCAGGUUUAGUCCACACCGUUACUCCAGGUAACAUAGACGAGACCGGACAGUGUCUUUGUUGGUGGCUUUUGUGGUGAGUGCGUAAUGAGGAGUGACCAGUACUGCAAAUUAAUCAGGUUACCAGGUUGGGCAAGAUGAAAGUCCCGCAGGAGCUCUGGAUCGAGUAUGUCGUCCCGGGGUACCCAAGAGCGCUCCUCUGGACCUCAUCCUUUCCAGUCUACCAGGUACUCCAGCAGUCCACCUUGAUGCCUGGAGUCCAGGAGCUGCCGGACAGUGUAGACCGUGGCUUCCUUGUCCAGAGAGGGGGGGGCUUCUUCACCACUUCUGGAGGAACUGAAGUGACAGAUACCUGUGAUCCUGAAGGUUGACGAGAGCCCCAGAGCAGUCAACGCCGAAUUAAAUGACACCAUGCUUCGGCAGAUUGAGACACUGAAGAGGAACUUCAGGAGCCUGAUCAAGAUGCCGACACCCAUGGCUAUGAUCAUUGUGUCAGGACCACUGCCUAUGUAUCAACGAGGACACGAAAGAUGGAUAGACACUAUUGCAGCGGCUGGUGGAACAAAACGCCUACCGAACUCUUGUGCUGGAGUUGCUGUGGAGAGGUUGAAGUUUGAAGAAGCCAGUGGAGCAGAGACAUCUUGAAAAGGCAUCUGGAUAGUGAGCUAAGAAGGUGGCGAGGAAGCUGAAGUCAAUGGCAUGCUCAGGUCAUUACUAAAUCCAGAAGAAGGAGGACGAGACUGUGGAAUAGCUGAGGAGUAUAUCGCCGGAUCUGCGCUGGAGUAGGAACUGGCAAGAGACUGUUCGAGGUAAUAGGAGAUGGCAGGACGAUUUCUUCAUCAGAAUCAGAAUAAUCACAAAGAUAGUGCGAGUUUUGAGACAUAUUCGGUCGGCAACAGAAUGCCAGCAACUGAGUGGAGCGUUCAGCAUCUGCAAACUCAGACAAGUGUAAGCACAGGUCCUUUACAGUUCUAUUAUUAGAACGUGAUUGGACAAUUGAGAAGGUAAUAAGUGACGCUAACAAUUGAGUCUUCCCGGCAGAACUUAUGCUAAAGCUUUCAUUUUAUUUGAAUUCUGGCGUGCUCUUGUGAUGGCUGGUGACGCGCUCUGACGCAUAUGUCAGCUGAUGGA
This is a long non-coding RNA of Carassius auratus (goldfish), 1469 nucleotides long. RefSeq lists it as uncharacterized. The record is from RefSeq and is a predicted model, not a curated record. The transcript is spliced from 5 exons. Lineage: Eukaryota; Metazoa; Chordata; Actinopteri; Cypriniformes; Cyprinidae.